GGGCGGCCGUGACGCUGCCGCCUUCCCCUCGUUACCUUUGUGCUCGUCAUCCAGGAUUCUAGAGAAGCCUUUGUGUGAAGCAAUACUCCCCUUCCAUCUUUAUGUCCUUUUGAAGAACUCCAGAGCCAACUAUAUUGUUAACUGUAUCUUAGAGGAUCCUUGCUUUGACAGCUGGUAAGGUGGUUUAUGUCAGAACACAAUAACUGAGCUUACGGUGGAUGUACUGUAGAUAAUACCUGAAGUUUCAGAUACUGUUUACCUUUUUGUAAAAGCUGCAGCAAUUUUUAAGAAAGUCAUUGCAUGGUUACUACUUGAAAAAUAUGUCACAUUAUGGGCAAAUCACUUGAAGAUAAAUUUUAAGCUAUUAUGAUGUAAAAUGUAUUUAUGUUCUUUGCUUUUCUUUUUUAGUAUUUUAUAAUUAACUAUGUCAUGCUGAGAUCUACUGAAUAUAUUUCAUUCUAAGAAAUGCCUCACAUUCAUUUUCACCCCAUAUGCGGAAGAUACUGGGGACUUUUUUGAUCUUCUGUUCAGUUUCAUUAGAUUAGGAUAUAUUUUACAUUCUAACCUUAACUUUAUUUUCCUGCAUUCUUUACCCUCUGCAUAUUGAUGCAAUUAACAGUAUGAUAAGCUGAGCAAGCAUUUUCACUGAAAGCUUAUCUAUCAUAUAGAACUCUUGUCAUAUCAAAGAAUCUGAGUGACCUUGUGACCUGAAUUUCCAGGGUGGAACAAAAGGUUAAAUACUCACCGUCUUCAUAUCUCACAUGGAUACAAGAUAUGGAUACAGAUGGUUUGGCAUCUACGUAAGCUAAGGACUCCUAUGUUUUGUCAAAAUGGUUUUAUCGUAACCCAUCUUCUACUUAACCACCUCAUUUAAGUCAUUUGUCUAUGUAAGAAAGCAAGAUUCUUAAGAUCAAGAGCAAUGAACCUAGUAACUGGUAUGUGAAAAUAAAAGCAAAAUACAUACUGAAUGGCUAGUACUUUAUGUACCUAGGCACACACUGAAAACAGAGUUAUUCAUCAAUACCGGUAAACAACCAUUUCCAGCACAACAAUUUUCAGAUUUCUGGUUUCUUAGCAUUCUUUAAAGGCAUGUUUUUGUAGUUCUUCAAAAUCAGAAUCUCAUCUAGGAAUCAGUUUUUGCAGUUUGUGAAAAUUAGUCAUCAAUUAAAGAAAAACUAUCUACAAAAAUUAGCCUGUCUUCAGAGUCAUGGUUAACAUUUCUUUAUAGAUAGUAUCGUUUUGUGUAUGUCACUUUGUCUGGAAGAUGAAACUACAUUCCAGUUACCUUA
This is a long non-coding RNA of Pezoporus flaviventris, 1289 nucleotides long. RefSeq lists it as uncharacterized. NCBI's taxonomy places the organism in Eukaryota, Metazoa, Chordata, Aves, Psittaciformes, Psittacidae. The transcript has 3 exons. The record is from RefSeq and is a predicted model, not a curated record.